AGUUGUAAUUUGCAGAGGAUGUUUCUGGCGACGCGCCUUCCGAGUUCCCUGGAACGGGACGCCAUAGAGGGUGAGAGCCCCGUACGGUUGGAUGCCUAGCCUCUGUGAAACUCCUUCGAC
RNAcentral lists this ribosomal RNA (120 nucleotides) under Stephanonectria keithii. Its description in RNAcentral is "partial large subunit ribosomal RNA". The record is from RNAcentral. Lineage: Eukaryota; Fungi; Ascomycota; Sordariomycetes; Hypocreales; Nectriaceae.